RNAcentral lists this ribosomal RNA (253 nucleotides) under uncultured bacterium. RNAcentral's name for it is "partial 16S ribosomal RNA". It matches the Rfam family "Bacterial small subunit ribosomal RNA", at positions 524 to 776 of the family's 1533-position model. The record is from RNAcentral.
UACGUAGGGUGCGAGCGUUAAUCGGAAUUACUGGGCGUAAAGCGUGCGCAGGCGGUUAUGUAAGACAGAUGUUAAAUGCCCGGGCUUAACCUGGGAACUGCAUUUGUGACUGCAUGGCUAGAGUUUGGCAGAGGGGGGUAGAAUUCCACGUGUAGCAGUGAAAUGCGUAGAUAUGUGGAGGAACACCGAUGGCGAAGGCAGCCCCCUGGGUCAAGACUGACGCUCAUGCACGAAAGCGUGGGGAGCAAACAGG